Molecule: non-coding RNA, 447 nt
Organism: Nylanderia fulva
Lineage: Eukaryota; Metazoa; Arthropoda; Insecta; Hymenoptera; Formicidae
Source: RefSeq, a predicted model, not a curated record
AAUACGUAGCAAACAGCAUGUCAGAUCCAUGGAUAUGGGAAAUGGAAUAUUUCAGAGAAAUGCCUGGUGGACUUGCAAGAUGCAAUAUAUGCUAUGCAGACAUUACUUUUCUUACAGAUUACAAAUAUAGUGCAAAGUUUCAUUUAUUAACGUUCCACAACAAAGAAUAUUGCAAUAUUACUUCAGAGCAAAAAGAUUGGGAGUCAUUGUUUGAUAAAAUUGGAAACACUGGUACAGUGAAGUGCAAAAUAUGUGAAAAUACUGUAAUCACUUUACAGCAAAACCGUUAUCUCACAGAGCAUCUACUUGUGCACAAUCUAACAGAGGAGAUGGAACAUUUGAACAUUUAAACCAAUGGCAUACAGAAUUGAGGAAUCCAACGGAAUAAAAGAAAAGGCGAUCAUUCAGAAAUGCUGAAAAUGGUACUAUAGCACUUAUAUAAUUUCA